Molecule: non-coding RNA, 148 nt
Filed under: Pan troglodytes (chimpanzee)
Lineage: Eukaryota; Metazoa; Chordata; Mammalia; Primates; Hominidae
Source: Rfam by way of RNAcentral
GCCGGGCGUGGUGGCGGGCGCCUGUAAUCCCAGCUACUCGGGAGGCUGAGACAGGAGAAUUGCUUGAACCCAGGAGGCUGAGCUUGUAGUGAGCAGAGAUCGUGCCGCCGCACUCCAGCCUGGGAGACAGAGUGAGACUCUGUCUCAA